RNAcentral lists this Y RNA (102 nucleotides) under Carlito syrichta (Philippine tarsier). RNAcentral describes it as "Y RNA (ENSTSYG00000032500.1)". It matches the Rfam family "Y RNA". Rfam says of the family: Y RNAs are components of the Ro ribonucleoprotein particle (Ro RNP), in association with Ro60 and La proteins. The Y RNAs and Ro60 and La proteins are well conserved, but the function of the Ro RNP is not known. Lineage: Eukaryota; Metazoa; Chordata; Mammalia; Primates; Tarsiidae. The record is from Rfam by way of RNAcentral.
GGCUAGUCCGAGUGCAGUGGUAUUUACAACAAAUUGAUCACAACUGGUUACAGAUUUCUUUGUUUCUUUUCUACUUCCACUGCUUCACUUGAUUAAUCUUUA